CUCUGUGCGGCGGCUGCAGACAACGAAGCCGAGUGAGGCGGGGGCGCGGCGCCGUCUCUGCCCAUCUCCCUCCUCCCCGUCGCCUCGAGAGAUCACCACUCCCUGUCCCUCCCCAUAGUCCGUUCUCCCCUUCUUCCAUCCGCGACCAUGGAUGAGGAAGGCUUUCUCGACAGCAGCCGUCCGGCCGGCGACCCAGUUGGCGGUGGCAGCCAUAGAAGAUCGAGGUCACGGGGCGACUGGGUCGACAAUGAGGGAGCCAUGGGGCGUGGCCACGUCCGGCCGAAUAUGGGGCUGGACUUGGGCAGCGGCUUUGGAGCUGCCGAUGCACAAGCUGGGCAAGGUGAGCCUUUCAGCCUUACUGUGCGUGCAUGUUUAUUUAGCAUUUGCGUUAGCAUAUAGUUUGUAGAUAGAUUACAUAAUACAUGUGGUUGCUAGCUUUUGUAGCAGUUUUACUUUCCGGCCGGCCGUCCUAAUUUGAAUCAGUAGAUCUUCUUGCGUAGUUUAUGCUAGCUUAUGCUACGUAGAUGUUUAAUUCUAGCUUAUGUAAGCUAUAGCUUGUAAAAGUUCUUCUUGAUGAAAACUAACACCGGUAUUUUAUAGGCUCCUCUCGUAAGAGGGUAGGCAUCGAUGCUAGAAGGAGUGAUACUGUCAACUUAGACGAUGAAGAUGAUGGUCUGAUCAGGAAUGGUUCAGCAACAAGAGAGGCACCUUUUAAAGGUUGAUACCGUGUUACUCUUGCUUUUUGUAUUUCUCUUUGUUCCCUAUGUUUUACCCCUGUAAUUUGUGAAGCACCUAAAUGAUUUUAAUUCUACCUGUUCUGUAAUUUCUUACUAGCACUACUUGUACUUAUUCUAGUUUUGUUUAGUUUUUUAAUGCUGAUUUUACCUACGCAUAUUUUGUGGAAAUCUAAUUCCAUUUGCUUGCUUAGUUCUGUUUUUGCCAAUGCAUUUUUUACUUGUGCUUAAUUCUGUUCUGUCUAUUUUUGUUUAGUUGUUUAAUUCUGUUUUUGCCUAUGCAAUGUAUGCAUUGUUUUUGCCUAUUACAAGAGUGGUUUAUUCGUUUCAUUGUUAACAUGGUGCUUGCAUUUUGAAAUGCAGGACUUAAGACCAACGACAUACAUCAUGUGUGGAACCAUGGCCCCAAGCACGGAGGAGGAUUUCAUUGUCGGUAUUGCAACAUGAAGAAUUCUGGAGGAGGUGCAACCCGCUUCAAAGAGCAUCUUGGCAAGAUAGUAGGUGAAGUGAAGGAGUGCCCAAAUGUUCCAAGAAAUGUGCAUGAUAUAAUGAGGAAGGCCGUGCUUGAGAUGAGGAAAAAGAAGAGGGAGAAGGAAAGUCGUAAGCUUAGAUUUGAACGUGAGUUGAUGGAUGAGAUGUACCAGAGAAAUGGUGUGAUAAAUAUUGAUGAUGAUAAAGAUGAAGAAAUUCAUAUGGCACUACGGGAGUCACUAAGAGACAGGAAUGUUCUGUUUUUACUUUAUUUUGUCUUAUUCUGGUUUUACUUUAUAUCAUGAUGCAUUUAGAGUUCUUUGUAUUAUGCCUUACUCUUGCUUUACUUGAUAUCAUCAUACAUAUUGAGUUGAACUUUUUUUACUUAUGUUUUACAGGAAUGUAUCUCGUGCAGUUGAGAGGAGGCGUGGUAGUGGCGGUGGUGUUCGCGUUUCCCUUGGGAAACAGAGUAUCACAGCCUACUUUGACAAGCAAUUGUCGAGCAACAAAGUAUCAAUGCAACCCAAGAUCAGCACUGCUAUGGAUAGCAGCUCAAGGGAUGCUGUUGGCCAAGCUUGGCGAAGUUUUUUCAUGCAAAUGACAUCGCUGGUCGAAAAGCUGACUGUCAAUAUUUUCAGGCUGCCAUGAAGAUCACUCAAAAUCUUGGUGCUGCUCCUAUUCCAACUGGAAAAGAGAUUGAUGGGAAGUAUUUAGACAAAAAUUAUGAAGAGUCUCGAGAGUGGCUGAAGCUAUUCAAGCAAGAUUGGAAGAACUAUGGUGUAACUGUUAUGUGUGACUCCUGGACUAGGCCUACUGGCAUGAGUCUUAUCAAUUUCAUGGUCUAUUGCAAUACACGGAUGUUCUUCCAUAAAUCCAUUGAUGCUUCUGGCCAGUCUCAAAAUUCAGGUUAGAUUUUUUGAGAAAGGGUUAUUUCUGGUUAAUUAUGACUAUUGCAAUUCUUUCUACUAUGAUGCUCUAUAUUUCUGUUUUGUUAUUAAUUCUAGCAUAUUUGUUCUGUUUUUAUUUGAUAUCAUGAUGCAUUUCAAGUUGAGGAAGCCAAACGUUUAUAAUAGAGUACUUUGUCUACGUUGCAGAAUUUCUCUAUAGAGAGAUUAAACAGGUUGUUGUUGAAGAUAUAGGCCACGAAAAUGUAGUUCAGAUUGUUACUGAUAAUGGCUCAAAUUACAAGAAAGCUUGUAAAACUCUUGUUGAACAACCAGAAUUCAGUCAUAUUGUUUGGCAGCCAUGUGCAGCCCACACGGUUAAUCUAAUGCUUAAAGACAUAGGUAAGUUUCCUGAGGUUGAUGUGAUAGUCAAAAGUGCCAAGCAAAUCUGUAGGUUUUUUUAUAAUCACAACAACCUACAUGAUAGCAUGAGGAAGAACGUUGGUGGUGAGUUGAUUAAACCGAAUGCCACCCGGUUUGGAACUGUGUUUAUGUUCCUUGAGAGUUAUUUGGAGAAGAAAGAUAAAUUUAGGAAAUGGAUGGUGUCCGACGACUGGAAGAACAGUAUUUGGAAGAAUGAUGCGGACCAUGUGUUUGCUGAAGAGUUGCUAUCCAGUAACAUGUGGUGGACAGCCUUAGAAUGGGUUCUUGAUUUGCUUGAGCCACUCUAUGUAGCCCUCAGAUAUGCUGAUACACAAAAGAAAUGUACUCUAUCUGGUUUCAAGAAGACUAUGAUGACAGCCAUACAAAAGAUGAGUUCUCAUCUUGGUGGUGGGUCACAGAUGUUAGAUAGAGUCAUGAGCAAGGUGUCCCCGAGGAUGGAAGAUAUGCAAAAUGAGACACUAAUGGUUGCAGGUAGAUACUAAGUUAAUGAAACUGAAAUUUUGUUGCUUUUUUCUUAUGGUUAUUAACUUCUCUUGAUUCUCCUUUUCUUAUACAGCUGCUGUCCUUGAUCCGUUCACACAUUAUCGGGUGAAUUUGAGCAACCUUCCAGAAUAUGCUUCUGCACUAACGGAUGUCAUCGAGAAGAUAGCAGACCCUGAGAGCGCUCUUUUGGCUAUCAAUGAAAUCAGCACUUAUAGGGAAUGUCGUGGGAGGUUUAGGCAUAGUUUGGCACGCUCUUCCGCAGAAAGAAUGGCACCAAGUAAACCACGAUACUUAUCUCCAUUGAUUAGCUCUAUUGCCUCAUGUUGCAACUUCAUUUCAGCAUCUCUAACUUUGUUUUAACCAUGCAGCUGAGUGGUGGUUCCAGUUUGGAGGGGAAGUUCCUAAUUUGCAGAAGUGGGCAUUGAGAAUUGUUUCACAGUGUGUCUCUUCAAGUGGCUGUGAGAGGAAUUGGACUGCUUUUGCCUUGGUCCACACGAAGCAAAGAAAUCGCCUUCUAUACUGCAAGCUUCACAAAAGUGUUUCUGUACGCUACAACCUGAAGGUAUGUUUGCCAUGGUCUAUGCAUAAAGUCUCAACUUAGCUAUGCUACAAGUAUUUACUUUGCUAAAUCUUGGGUUCUGUUUUUAUACAUUGUAGUUACGUGCUGAAGAAGAUGAAGAUAUUGUGAAGCUGAGUUAUAGGGAGAAGGAAAUUGAUCCAUGUGCAGUGAUGAUGGAUACAGUUAUGCAUGACGAAUCAAACCCAAUGAUGGAGUGGCUGAACGAGGAUGAAGAGCAUAUAGUCCUUGAUGGAUCUGAUGCUGCUACUGCUGUGUUGGAGGAAAUACGUCGCCUUAACUCAAGGAGGAAAGCCUCUCAUCUUGGAAGGAAGGAAAUUAGCAGGAAAGGAAAGAGGGUACGUGAAGAUGAGGAGGAUGAGUUCAUUAGCAGUGAGGAUGAUGAUGAAGCGAAUGGAUCCAUGGACAUUGAUGAUGGUGAUGAUGGCCAAGAAGAGGAUUAUGAAUCUGAUGGAGAAGGUUUGCCAAGACAAGCUGAAAAAGAUGCACGAAGCCAAGUGAAUGAUAUUGAGGUAACAAGGGAUGAAAAUAUGGUGAAUCGUAGAUCUGGACGGCAAGCCAAGAAGGUCAAGGACGUCAACUCCCUUUACUAUUAGGUAACAAGUUACUUUUUCUUAUAUGAGCUAGCUUCUGGUUGUAUAUUUUUCUUCAUACUGCACUCAUGUUUUUGCGUUAGUAAUAAAUAACAUGGUAGAAGCUUACUGCCUGGACAUACUUUGCAAUGCUAGCAUCCAUGCCGUUUAUAUAAUUUGUAAUGCUAGACAUUUUUGUUUCAUGUACACAUAACUGAUGUUUUGUAUUGCAAUAUUUAUGAAGCCUCUGACCAUAUUUGCAUUUUUGUUUCAUGCAAGACUGAAGACUGGAAGAAAAUUGAAGUCUACCUGAUGUGUUUUGGAGGCGCUGGUUUGAACUUCGAUUACUUCUGCUCUAUGACUUGUGGAUUGUGAAUCUGGACUAUUGUGUGUGUAUUUUGGACUCGUAGUAGGGAUUGGUGUGUGGGUAUUUUGGACUGUAAUUUGAAGUUCUAAUAUGCACUGUUAUGUGUGUACCUUGGGCUAAUAUGGACUGUUAACUAGCCUAUUGAGUAGAUCUGGACUACUGGAUGUUAUAUCAUGCUCUGAACCGAUGUUUACCAUUGAGAUGGAGUUCUAAUCUGGUAUAACAUGUAAAUUGCUGCUUUGUGAUUCUAUAUUUUGCUUGUACAUGUUUUCUUGUGGCUAUUUCAAAUUUCUGGGCAAAUUUCGGUCAAUUUCGUUCAAAUUUCGGUCAUUUUUCGUCCCAAAAUUCAAAUUUUGGUUUGUGCUUUUCGUC
This 4904-nucleotide long non-coding RNA is filed under the name Triticum aestivum (bread wheat). RNAcentral describes it as "long non-coding RNA (TAES_LNC011528)". Lineage: Eukaryota; Viridiplantae; Streptophyta; Magnoliopsida; Poales; Poaceae. The record is from RNAcentral.